This 425-nucleotide ribosomal RNA is filed under the name uncultured bacterium. RNAcentral's name for it is "bacterial SSU rRNA". It matches the Rfam family "Bacterial small subunit ribosomal RNA", at positions 356 to 773 of the family's 1533-position model. The record is from RNAcentral.
AGGGAAUCUUCCGCAAUGGACGAAAGUCUGACGGAGCAACGCCGCGUGAGCGAAGAAGGUCUUCGGAUCGUAAAGCUCUGUUGUUAGGGAAGAACAAGUAUCGGAGGAAAUGCCGGUACCUUGACGGUACCUGACGAGAAAGCCACGGCUAACUACGUGCCAGCAGCCGCGGUAAUACGUAGGUGGCAAGCGUUGUCCGGAUUUAUUGGGCGUAAAGCGCGCGCAGGCGGUCCUUUAAGUCUGAUGUGAAAUCUUGCGGCUCAACCGCAAGCGGUCAUUGGAAACUGGGGGACUUGAGUGCAGAAGAGGAGAGCGGAAUUCCACGUGUAGCGGUGAAAUGCGUAGAGAUGUGGAGGAACACCAGUGGCGAAGGCGGCUUUCUGGUCUGUAACUGACGCUGAGGCGCGAAAGCGUGGGGAGCAAAC